AACGAACGCUGGCGGCGUGCCUAAUACAUGCAAGUCGAACGAGAAAGUGGCUUCGGCCAUGAGUAAAGUGGCAGACGGGUGAGUAAUACAUGGGUAACUUACCUCCAAGAUGGGGACAACCUUCCGAAAGGAGGGCUAAUACCGAAUGAGACCACAGUGACAUAUGUCACAGGGGUUAAAGGUGGCCUCUAUUUAUAAGCUAUCACUUGGAGAGAGGCUCAUGCACCAUUAGCUAGUUGGUAGGGUAACGGUCUACCAAAGCUCUGAUGGUUAGCUGAUCUGAGAGGUUGAUCAGCCACACUGGAACUGAGACACGGUCCAGACUCCUACGGGAGGCAGCAGUAGGGGAAUAUUGCGCAAUGGAGGAAAACUCUGACGCAGCCAUG
Molecule: ribosomal RNA, 386 nt
Filed under: uncultured bacterium
Lineage: Bacteria
Description: bacterial SSU rRNA
Rfam family: Bacterial small subunit ribosomal RNA
Source: RNAcentral